GUCCUCGCUUCGGCAGCACAUAUACUAAAAUUGAAACGACACAGAGAAGAUCGACAUGGCCCUUGCACAAGGAUGACACACAAAUUAGUGAAGCAUUUAUAUUUUUA
Molecule: small nuclear RNA, 107 nt
Filed under: Pogona vitticeps (central bearded dragon)
Lineage: Eukaryota; Metazoa; Chordata; Lepidosauria; Squamata; Agamidae
Source: RNAcentral